RNAcentral lists this ribosomal RNA (254 nucleotides) under uncultured bacterium. RNAcentral describes it as "partial 16S ribosomal RNA". It matches the Rfam family "Bacterial small subunit ribosomal RNA", at positions 524 to 776 of the family's 1533-position model. The record is from RNAcentral.
UACAGAGGUCCCAAGCGUUGUUCGGAUUCACUGGGCGUAAAGGGUGCGUAGGCGGUCGGGUAAGUCUGAUGUGAAAUCUCACAGCUUGAACUGUGAAACUGCAUUGGAUACUAUCCGGCUCGAGGAAUGGAGGGGAGACUGGAAUACUUGGUGUAGCAGUGAAAUGCGUAGAUAUCAAGUGGAACACCAGUGGCGAAGGCGAGUCUCUGGACAUUUCCUGACGCUGAGGCACGAAAGCCAGGGGAGCAAACGGG